RNAcentral lists this ribosomal RNA (484 nucleotides) under uncultured bacterium. RNAcentral describes it as "partial 16S ribosomal RNA". It matches the Rfam family "Bacterial small subunit ribosomal RNA", at positions 30 to 507 of the family's 1533-position model. The record is from RNAcentral.
AUUGAACGCUGGCGGCAUGCCUAACACAUGCAAGUCGAGCGGAUGAAGCGUGCUUUCUCCUGGUUUCCGCGGCGGACGGGUGAGUAAUGCCUAUGAAUCUCCCUCGUUGUGGUGGAUGACAUCCUGAAACGGGCGCUAAUACCGCCUGCGUCCUGCUCCUGCAAGUGGGGGGUCUUCGGACCUCUCCCUAUCAUGUGGGCCUAGGUCGGGUUAGCUAGUUUGUUGGGUAAGGGCCUGCCUAGCCGACGAUACGUAACUGGUCUGAGAGGAUGAUCAGUCACACUGGAACUGAGACACAGUCCAGAGGCCUACGGGAGGCAGCAGUGGGGAAUAUGGGACAGUGGGCGAAAGCAUGAUCCAGUGAUGGGGCGUGUGUGAAGAAGGUCUUCGGAGUGUAAAGAACUUUAAGGGGGGAGGAAGGGCAGUAAGUUAAGACGUUGCGGGAGUGACGUUACUAACAGAAGAAGCACCGGCUAACUACGUG